CCUACGGGGGGCUGCAGUGAGGAAUAUUGGUCAAUGGACGCAAGUCUGAACCAGCCAUGCCGCGUGCAGGAAGACGGCCCUAUGAGUUGUAAACUGCUUUUGUACGAGGGUAAACGCAGAUACGCGUAUCUGUCUGAAAGUACCGUACGAAUAAGGAUCGGCUAACUCCGUGCCAGCAGCCGCGGUAAUACGGAGGAUUCAAGCGUUAUCCGGAUUUAUUGGGUUUAAAGGGUGCGUAGGCGGUCGGAUAAGUUAGGGGUGAAAGCCUGAGGCACAACUGCGGAAUUGCCUCUGAUACUGUUCGGCUAGAGAGAAGUUGCGGUAGGCGGAAUGUGUGGUGUAGCGGUGAAAUGCUUAGAGAUCAUACAGAACACCGAUUGCGAAGGCAGCUUACCAAGCUACUUCUGACGUUGAGGCACGAAAGCGUGGGGAGCAAACAGGAUUAGAUACCCCUGUAGUC
This 460-nucleotide ribosomal RNA is filed under the name uncultured bacterium. RNAcentral describes it as "partial 16S ribosomal RNA". It matches the Rfam family "Bacterial small subunit ribosomal RNA", at positions 338 to 795 of the family's 1533-position model. The record is from RNAcentral.